UACGUAGGGACCAAGCGUUGUUCGGAUUUACUGGGCGUAAAGGGCGCGUAGGCGGCGCGGUAAGUCACUUGUGAAAUCUCUGAGCUUAACUCAGAACGGCCAAGUGAUACUGCAGUGCUAGAGUGUGGAAGGGGCAAUCGGAAUUCUUGGUGUAGCGGUGAAAUGCGUAGAUAUUAGGAGGAACACCGGUGGCGAAGGCGCCGCUCUGGGCCGAAACUGACGCUGAGGAGCGAAAGCGUGGGUAGCAAACAGG
RNAcentral lists this ribosomal RNA (253 nucleotides) under uncultured bacterium. RNAcentral describes it as "partial 16S ribosomal RNA". It matches the Rfam family "Bacterial small subunit ribosomal RNA", at positions 524 to 776 of the family's 1533-position model. The record is from RNAcentral.